CUGCCUAGUACGGCGAGUGAGCGGCAACAGCUCAAUUUGAAAGCUGGCUUAGGCCCGCAUUGUAAUUUGCAGAGGAUGCUUCUGGCGAGGUGCCUUCCGAGUUCCCUGGAACGGGACGCCAUAGAGGGUGAGAGCCCCGUAUGGAUGGACACCAGACCUGUGUGAAGCUCCUUCAACGAGUCGAGUAGUUUGGGAAUGCUGCUCUAAAUGGGAGGUAAAUCUCUUCUAAAGCUAAAUACCGGCCAGAGACCGAUAGCGCACAAGUAGAGUGAUCGAAAGAUGAAAAGCACCUUGAAAAGGGGGUUAAACAGUACGUGAAAUUGUUGAAAGGGAAGCGCUUGUGACCAGACUUGCGCCGGGGCAGCUCAUCAGGGGUUCUCCCCUGUGCACUCUGCCCGGCUCAGGCCAGCAUCGGUUCUCGUGGGAGGAUAA
This 432-nucleotide ribosomal RNA is filed under the name Cytospora ribis. Its description in RNAcentral is "partial 28S ribosomal RNA". It matches the Rfam family "Eukaryotic large subunit ribosomal RNA", at positions 75 to 522 of the family's 3401-position model. Lineage: Eukaryota; Fungi; Ascomycota; Sordariomycetes; Diaporthales; Cytosporaceae. The record is from RNAcentral.